AGAGUUUGAUCCUGGCUCGGAACGAACGCUGGCGGCGUGCUUAACACAUGCAAGUCGAAACGCGAAAAGGGACUUCGGUCCUGAGUAAAGUGGCGCACGAGUGAGUAACGCGUGGAUAAUCUACCCAAUGAUCUGGGAUAACAUCUCGAAAGGGGUGCUAAUACUGGAUAAGACCACGGAGUCUCUGGAUUCUGCGGUAAAAGGUGGGACCUUCGGGCCUACCGUCAUCGGAUGAGUCCGCGUACCAUUAGCUAGUUGGUGGGGUAAUGGCCUACCAAGGCUACGAUGGUUAGCUGGUCUGAGAGGAUGAUCAGCCACACUGGAACUGAAACACGGUCCAGACUCCUACGGGAGGCAGCAGUGGGGAAUAUUGCGCAAUGGGGGAAACCCUGACGCAGCGACGCCGUGUGAGGGAAGAAGGCUUUCGGGUCGUAAACCUCUGUCGGGAGGGAAGAACCCUCUGUAGGGUGAAUAGCCUACGGAACUGACGGUACCACCAAAGGAAGCACCGGCUAACUCCGUGCCAGCCGCCGCGGUAAUA
RNAcentral lists this ribosomal RNA (541 nucleotides) under bacterium enrichment culture clone Cont77_3130. RNAcentral describes it as "bacterial SSU rRNA". It matches the Rfam family "Bacterial small subunit ribosomal RNA", at positions 8 to 525 of the family's 1533-position model. The record is from RNAcentral.